UAGGGAAUCUUCGGCAAUGGACGAAAGUCUGACCGAGCAACGCCGCGUGAGUGAAGAAGGUUUUCGGAUCGUAAAACUCUGUUGUUAGAGAAGAACAAGGACGUUAGUAACUGAACGUCCCCUGACGGUAUCUAACCAGAAAGCCACGGCUAACUACGUGCCAGCAGCCGCGGUAAUACGUAGGUGGCAAGCGUUGUCCGGAUUUAUUGGGCGUAAAGCGAGCGCAGGCGGUUUCUUAAGUCUGAUGUGAAAGCCCCCGGCUCAACCGGGGAGGGUCAUUGGAAACUGGGGGACUUGAGUGCAGAAGAGGUAGGUGGAAUUCCAUGUGUAGCGGUGAAAUGCGUAGAUAUAUGGAGGAACACCAGUGGCGAAGGCGGCUCUCUGGUCUGUAACUGACGCUGAGGCUCGAAAGCGUGGGGAGCAAACAGG
RNAcentral lists this ribosomal RNA (429 nucleotides) under Gemmatimonadota bacterium. RNAcentral's name for it is "Gemmatimonadetes bacterium partial 16S ribosomal RNA". It matches the Rfam family "Bacterial small subunit ribosomal RNA", at positions 355 to 776 of the family's 1533-position model. Lineage: Bacteria; Pseudomonadati; Gemmatimonadota. The record is from RNAcentral.